UAGUGAGUUUGAUCCUGGCUCAGAACGAACGCUGGCGGCAGGCUUAACACAUGCAAGUCGAGCGCCCCGCAAGGGGAGCGGCAGACGGGUGAGUAACGCGUGGGAACCUACCUAUUGCUGCGGAAUAACUCAGGGAAACUUGAGCUAAUACCGCAUGUGCCCUUCGGGGGAAAGAUUUAUCGGCAAUAGAUGGGCCCGCGUCGGAUUAGCUAGUUGGUGGGGUAACGGCCUACCAAGGCGACGAUCCGUAGCUGGUCUGAGAGGAUGAUCAGCCACACGUGGGACUGAGACACGGCCCAGACUCCUACGGGGAGCAGCAGUGGGGAAUAUUGGACAAUGGGCGCAAGCCUGAUCCAGCCAUGCCGCGUGAGUGAUGAAGGCCCUUAGGGUUGUAAA
This 396-nucleotide ribosomal RNA is filed under the name uncultured Hyphomicrobiales bacterium. RNAcentral's name for it is "bacterial SSU rRNA". It matches the Rfam family "Bacterial small subunit ribosomal RNA", at positions 1 to 429 of the family's 1533-position model. Lineage: Bacteria; Pseudomonadati; Pseudomonadota; Alphaproteobacteria; Hyphomicrobiales. The record is from RNAcentral.